AUGGUGGGGCCCUGGAGGGCCUGGCCUUGUCCGAGCAUUAUGGGUUGGAGUCGAGACCUGGCAGCGGUGCAACUCGGCCAAGCCAGCGCAGGGAUCCGGCUCUGGCGCAGCUCCGGGAGGCCCGCUCCAGAUGCAGGGGUCAGGCCAGGACCACGUUGGGCCCGAGAGGACCGCGCCUGGCGGGCCCGGCAUGCAGCCAGCUGCACGCUCCUCGGCCGAACCCAGCGCCUCCUCAGCAGAGGCCAUGGGGCCUCAGAGGGUCAGAGCUGGGGCUGGGCGGAAACUCAGCAUGACAGACGCUCUGCUUCUCUGGACAGAGGUCGAGGAGGCAACAUUCUUUGUUCACUACCAGGAAAAGAAGGAGUGGAAGACAGAUUCAACGCAGAAGUUACAGAAUUUAUUCUAUUUCUCCAAAAGUUGUUUUCCUGUCUGACUCAUAUACAAAAUCGUAAAGCCUUGACCUUCCUGAGCGUGCUGCACCCACGCCAGUUCUCUCUGGACUCUAAGUGUCCAGGAAGAAACAACAGUUUUCUUCCAGAGAAGCUGGACUCAGGGGUGGGGACCAGCUGCCCGAGGCCUUCCGCAGGGCCCCUGCCCCUUCCACUGCUGGGACCCUGUCAGAGGGCUACUCCCAGUCCCGACGCCUGUGAGGCCUGCGCGACGGGGCUGACGAAGGACAGCGGCUCAGAUCCUGACCACCUGGGCGGCAGCACACGGACUCUGCCGCCUCGCCGCCUGCGGUCUGCCUCCUGAGGUAGAGUCGGCCGAAGGUGCCCCCACCUGGCCUUUGGUGAGGCGCCCGGGUUCACACAGACGCAGCCGAGGAUGUCCUGGAGGGAGGAAAGAGUGACUGUGGGUCUGGAAAGGCUGAAACCAUGGGCACGGAUGUGAAGAAGCUGGACUCAUCUAGGGUUCAGCCCCAGAGGAUGUUAUAGAAACUGGAAACAAAGGCAGACGAAAACCAUCUUCGGCCAAUGUGUUAAUUUAUUACAGAAAACUCUGAGUCCCUCUUGUGUCUCCAAAACAAAAUAAAGAAGGUGACUCAGCCAAUUCCCAAACGUGGAGACAAACUUGCUCUAUUGGUUUCACAGCGUGAAAGGUUUACCUCCUGAGGUUGGACUGGCUCUGCUUUGGCAAGAGGAGGUUGAUGGGGUACAUUCCCCACGAGAGCCCGAACCUGAACGUGCCCAAGAGCUGCUGGGAGCUCAUCUCAGAAUUCAGGGAGGGACAGGCAAGCCCAGGUCACCCGAGGUGGCCAUGGGUGAGAACCGUGGUUCGAGGGCCUUCCUAGCUGCCUCCGGGCUUCCAGGCUGGGCUGCCUGAGCCAUGCCGUGGGUGGGGUGGGGUGGUGGCAGUGGGCAGCAAGGCGCAUCACUUAAGCAUUAUACUAACAGAUUUGUUUUCUACUCCUACCCCUCCCCAAAGGAACGAGGCCACUGUCCCCACCAGCAGACCCGAGAGGAGUUAAGUGCCAGGGCUCCAGAAGGGAACUGGUUCCGCAUUGCUGGGAAAUGGCUGAGUUCAAACCCACCUUCACGAAGUAUCUCAGCUCUGAUGGGGCUAUGAAGACGCCGGGGUGACGGGCAGCUGAGCGUAGAGGUAGAAGUUCUCGUGAGUCGAUGGCCAUGUCCUCCUGGGGUGGGUAGAGCGGGUAGUAGCUGCAGAGGAAGAGAGAGUCAGCAGCAGCGGACUCGGGAGCCGCCCCCAGAUGGACUCCUUCUCUGCCGCUGGUUUCCACGCUGUCACACCCUGCCUCUCCCGCCUCUGUAUCUGGGGACAGAGCAGGCCUGUCAUGCCAGGAGGGAGCUCCCUGGUGGGGCCUAGGGAAGGCUGUUGUUGUCCAGUUGCUAAGUCGUGUCUGACUCUUUGUGACUCCAGGGACUGCACAGGCCAGGCUUCCCUGUCCUUCACCAUCUCCAGGAAUUUGCUCAAACUCAUGUCAACUGAGUCGGUGAUGCCAUCCAACCCUCUUAUUCCCUGUUGCCCCUUUUCCUUCUGCCUCAAUCUCUCCCAGCAUCAGGGUCUUUUCCAAUGUGUCGGCUCUUUGCAUCAGGUGGCCUGGCCAAAGGAUUGGAGCUUCAGCUUCAGCAUUAGUCCUUCAAUGAAUAUUCAGGGUUGAUUUCCUCUAGGAUUGACUGGUUUGAUCUCCUUGCUGUCCAUGGGGUUGCAAAGAGUUGGACACGACUGAGCAACUUUCACGUCCACUGGGAAGGUUCUUGAAGUCAAAUCUGUCCGAGCUCUGUGACUCCAAAGCACCCCGGCACGGGCAGGUGCCCCACGGGCGGGCUCACCUCCGCUGGGUCAGGAUGUGUCUAAGAAUUCGGUUGAACCGGUCUGAAGUUCCAGAAGAACUGCAGAAGGAAGAAAAGCAAGAAACGGAAUGUGGAAACUUGUCUCUCGGCACCUGUUUCUCUUUGGGAGGAUUUCUUAAACUAGAGAGAAGUGAUGUGGCCAAGGUGUGUGACAGGAAGUUGCCUCUGGGGAAGUUUAAAGACGUAUCUGUAAACAGCUCGGUCUGUUGAGCAGGACACUGGGUUGAGAAGGGAAGAGCGGGAACUCCUUGUGAUCAGGCCCAGGCAGGCCGUCAUCAGCCCCACACCGUGCGAGAGCACGUGGGGUCUGCCCUCGAGGGCCAGCUGUAGCUGGGUGACCCUUGCACCUCAACCAGAGCCAACCUGCACACACCCAUCUCGCCUAACACACGAAUGGCUCCACACUCCUUCCCAUCACAGGUGAUGGAAGAACUGAACCGCUGAGCCUCAGCUCAACAGACCCGUAGCAUCUGAUCCCCUGCAGAGUAAUACCUUGUUCUGGGAGGGGAAUACCUCCAGGGUAAAUACAGUCACCCCAUGCGCAUGGACAGCUUGUUUAGGUCACACAUGUGGCGAAGGAAGCAAAGUAGAUGAAUGUCUAUGACUAGAAAUUAGGGGCAAAGAUAGGAUGGAAGGGACCCGCAGGGCCUCAAACACUGCAGACAAAUGGUAACAGACACAUGCGUGUCCCGCCGCCCCUGUGGGUGCAGAGAAACUCAGUGGCCAAAGGGUUUGGCAGAAAGUGCUGCUCUAGGGACUGCCCGCUUGAGACUCUGCCCAGCAGGCCUUUGGCCAAGGACAGGACCAGGGUCCAGAGGGCCAGAAACUGCCCGUGGAACUGGAAGCCCUUCUCACCUACUGAUCUCCUCGGCCCCCAUGUGGAACAGCAGGUCGGUGGAUGUCAAACCAAAGAUCACUCCGUUGAUGGAAAGG
Molecule: long non-coding RNA, 3245 nt
Filed under: Bos grunniens (domestic yak)
Lineage: Eukaryota; Metazoa; Chordata; Mammalia; Artiodactyla; Bovidae
Description: lncRNA (ENSBGRG00000026134.1)
Source: RNAcentral